Molecule: ribosomal RNA, 1581 nt
Filed under: Listeria monocytogenes
Lineage: Bacteria; Bacillati; Bacillota; Bacilli; Caryophanales; Listeriaceae
Description: partial 23S ribosomal RNA
Rfam family: Bacterial large subunit ribosomal RNA
Source: RNAcentral
UUGGUUAAGUUAGAAAGGGCGCACGGUGGAUGCCUUGGCACUAGGAGCCGAAGAAGGACGGGACUAACACCGAUAUGCUUUGGGGAGCUGUACGUAAGCGUUGAUCCAGAGAUUUCCGAAUGGGGGAACCCACUAUCUUUAGUCGGAUAGUAUCCUUACGUGAAUACAUAGCGUGAGGAAGGCAGACCCAGGGAACUGAAACAUCUAAGUACCUGGAGGAAGAGAAAGAAAAAUCGAUUUCCUGAGUAGCGGCGAGCGAAACGGAAAGAGCCCAAACCAAGAAGCUUGCUUCUUGGGGUUGUAGGACACUCUAUACGGAGUUACAAAAGAAAGUUAUAAAUGAAGCGGUCUGGAAAGGCCCGCCAAAGACGGUAACAGCCCGGUAGUUGAAAUGGCUUUCCCUCCAGAGUGGAUCCUGAGUACGGCGGAACACGUGAAAUUCCGUCGGAAUCCGGGAGGACCAUCUCCCAAGGCUAAAUACUCCCUAGUGACCGAUAGUGAACCAGUACCGUGAGGGAAAGGUGAAAAGCACCCCGGAAGGGGAGUGAAACAGUUCCUGAAACCGUGUGCCUACAAGUAGUUAGAGCCCGUUAAUGGGUGAUAGCGUGCCUUUUGUAGAAUGAACCGGCGAGUUACGAUUUGUUGCAAGGUUAAGCGGAAAAAGCGGAGCCGUAGCGAAAGCGAGUCUGAAUAGGGCGCAUAAGUAACAGGUCGUAGACCCGAAACCAGGUGAUCUACCCAUGUCCAGGAUGAAGGUAAGGUAAUACUUACUGGAGGUCCGAACCCACGCACGUUGAAAAGUGCGGGGAUGAGGUGUGGGUAGCGGAGAAAUUCCAAUCGAACUUGGAGAUAGCUGGUUCUCUCCGAAAUAGCUUUAGGGCUAGCCUCGAGGUAAAGAGUCAUGGAGGUAGAGCACUGUUUGGACUAGGGGCCCUUCUCGGGUUACCGAAUUCAGAUAAACUCCGAAUGCCAUGUACUUAUACUCGGGAGUCAGACUGCGAGUGAUAAGAUCCGUAGUCGAAAGGGAAACAGCCCAGACCACCAGUUAAGGUCCCCAAAUAUAUGUUAAGUGGAAAAGGAUGUGGGGUUGCUUAGACAACCAGGAUGUUGGCUUAGAAGCAGCCACCAUUGAAAGAGUGCGUAAUAGCUCACUGGUCGAGUGACCCCGCGCCGAAAAUGUACCGGGGCUAAACAUAUUACCGAAACUGUGGAUGAACCUCUUUAGAGGUUCGUGGUAGGAGAGCGUUCUAAGGGCGGUGAAGUCAGACCGGAAGGACUGGUGGAGCGCUUAGAAGUGAGAAUGCCGGUAUGAGUAGCGAAAGAAGGGUGAGAAUCCCUUCCACCGAAUAUCUAAGGUUUCCUGAGGAAGGCUCGUCCGCUCAGGGUUAGUCGGGACCUAAGCCGAGGCCGAUAGGCGUAGGCGAUGGACAACAGGUAGAGAUUCCUGUACCAGUGCUAAUUGUUUAACCGAUGGGGUGACACAGAAGGAUAGGGAAUCGCACGAAUGGAAAUGUGCGUCCAAGCAGUGAGUGUGAGAAGUAGGCAAAUCCGCUUCUCGCGAAGCAUGAGCUGUGAUGGGGA